RNAcentral lists this small RNA (563 nucleotides) under Pongo abelii (Sumatran orangutan). RNAcentral describes it as "processed transcript". Lineage: Eukaryota; Metazoa; Chordata; Mammalia; Primates; Hominidae. The record is from RNAcentral.
GUCCAGGAGGGAAAAAUGACCCGGAACGACCUUUGCCGGCCUGGGCCAGCCCUCUUCCGGAGCUGAUGUCUCCUCCCACCAACCAGGAGAGAUCACUUUUUAAUUCGGGCCUCUGCAGCAUUAGAAAAAUUGAAACUCCUGUGUGGAGAAGAGAAAGAAUGUUCAAAUCCAUCAAAUCUUCUAGAACUUUACACACAGGCUGCUGUGUGGACAACACCUUUUUUUCUUGGUUUUCUGAAACACUGCUGAGGCAUGCUAACAUCAGGAAAUGUAAUUUUAUUAUAGCUAUUUUGGACAUGACAUAUUUUGAGGAGAACAAGCUAGUAGAUGAAGAUUUUCCUGAAGACUCUUCUUCACAGAAAGUAAAAGAGCUGAUCAGUUUUCUUUCAGAACCAGAAAUUUUAGUCAAGGAAAAUAAUAUGCAUCCAAAACACUGCAAUUUGCUUGGGGAUGAGCUACUGGAAUGUCUCUCUUGGAGACGAGGAGCCCUGCUGUAUAUGUAUUGUCAUUCUCUUACCAAAAGAAGAGAGUGGCUCUUAAGAAAAUCCAGUUUGCUUAAAAAG